UUAAACAAAAUACAAUAAUUCGAAAGAAAACAAUCCAAGAGAUUAGCAAAGUUGCUAAUCCCCGGCAACAGCGCCAAAAUUUGAUGUGAAAAAUAAGUUAACACACAAAAUUAAACCCUCUUUUUAUCAAUUGUAGCAAAGUAUGUAAAUAGGGAUUGUUCUAGACCGGGGAUUAGGAGGGAUUGCUAAACACUUGAAAACUGACUUAGAAAUGUAAAAACAAAGUUUAAAGCACUAGAUUAGACUCAAAGAAUGCAAAACUCACGUUUAAAAUACUAAAACGAACCAAAAACUCAAAACAGCAAUCAAAAGAUUCAAAACUGCCUUAAAAACACUUUCUGGGCAGUUUUGAACAUAAAGCAUCAAAUUGGACGAAUUUGGGUUUUAACUUGUACCAAAACACUUAAAAACAUAAACCAACACACUUUCCAAUUACUCUAGGAAUUCAAAAUAAUUGGGGAUUUGAUUUGGACGAAAAUAAACUUAAAUGGCAGAUUGUAAGAGAAACAGAUUGUAAUACAAAGUUAUGAAGAAUCAAUGGAUGAUGGAAUGGCUAAGGGGUUCUUCUCCACACAUGAAAUAUAUGCAACCUAAAUCGAUUUUCAGUUAUCAAUUGAAUAAGUUAUGAACCUCGACACUCCAAGUUAAUUAGAUCCGCUUAAAUUAACCUUCGGAUUUCCCUAGAAUCAUUGAAUUGGAUGAAUAUGCAUCGCAAACAAAUUAUUCCUAACAAGUUCUUUAUAUGAACAGCAUGAUAAAGAUACAGGUUAGAAUCAUUACGUUCUUUGGACAUCAUAAGCAUCGACAAGGCAUUCGUAACUAUGAAAAGCAUGAUACUCUUGCCAAGAAUCUACUUAACACGAUCGUGACUAGCGACCUUUACUACUUACGAAUAUAAAUUCAUAACGAUUAGGUGAAACAAACUUAUAUCCUAGCAUCAAAUUCAAGUAUGCCAAUUAAGCGUGCACUCUCAACCAACAUACAAGAAUAAGUUCUAAAUCAAACGGUUAAGCAAAUUGUAUUCACGACUCAUGCAACGAUAACCGAGAGUAAUCAAUUUAUUUCACAUAUAUAAUCAUGGUUUUGAAUCCACCCUUAGCCAAAACGAAUUUAGCCAAUCAUACUUAAAGCAAAACAAAGAUUACAUGAAUUAGACAUUGAAAUAUAAGAUAGAAAACACCUAAAAUUGUUCAACAACUCAGAAUGAAUAGCCAAACAAUCGUAGUGAAUCUGUCCCCUUCUUUGCUUGCGGCAGAUUGGGUUGUGAAGAUGUUUUGGGUAGUUUUAUGGUGUAGAAUGGAUGGGGAAUGGUAUGGAGAGGUUUAGGGUGAGUAUGGAGGAGUGUUUGAUGGUUGAAUGAUGGUAGAGAACUCGGCAAAGAGGGUGGAAUAAGGUGGAGUGGCUGUUAUGUUUUCUGGGCACCAGAAUGGUGUUUUUGGGGUGUUUUGCUGCCUAGGGUGAGUAUGGACGAAUUUUCUACAUGAAUGAUGAAUAUGGGAGGUUGAACCCUUUUGCCAAGGGUUGUAAACAUGUAUAUAUAGGCCCCAAAAACCCUAGAGAAUCAGAUUAGGCAGUGGGGGAAAUGCACAGCAAGGAGGGUGAAUUUGUGGUGUGCAAUGGUCCAAGGAUGAAAAUGGAGCAAUGAUGCAAAGUAUGGAGGGUAAAAUAGAGUGGUAUUUCAGCUAGGGAGCAUGAAUGAUUGUGUUCAUUGCAUGGAAAUGAAAAGGGGAGGUGAAAUGUUUCAGAAAUUAGUUAAAGGUGCAGCAACAUGUGUUGCACACGGCAUUGGAUCCCAAAUGUGGAUGAUGGAGCAUCAAUU
RNAcentral lists this long non-coding RNA (1819 nucleotides) under Malus domestica (apple). Its description in RNAcentral is "long non-coding RNA (MDOM_LNC019861)". Lineage: Eukaryota; Viridiplantae; Streptophyta; Magnoliopsida; Rosales; Rosaceae. The record is from RNAcentral.